CUGGCUCUGUCAGAGUCCGAGUUGUAAUUUGCAGAGGGUGCUUUGGUGGUAGUUGCGGUCUAAGUUCUUUGGAACAGGACGUCACAGAGGGUGAGAAUCCCGUAUGUGGUCGCUACUUAUCACCGUGUAAAGCCCCUUCGAC
RNAcentral lists this ribosomal RNA (142 nucleotides) under Setophoma terrestris. Its description in RNAcentral is "partial large subunit ribosomal RNA". It matches the Rfam family "Eukaryotic large subunit ribosomal RNA", at positions 122 to 258 of the family's 3401-position model. Lineage: Eukaryota; Fungi; Ascomycota; Dothideomycetes; Pleosporales; Phaeosphaeriaceae. The record is from RNAcentral.